AACCACCUAAACGAUAAAAUUAUUACACGAAACUUUCACACAUAUAUAAUCACAUACUGUAAACACCAAAAAUAAUAUUAAAAUAAUUUUACAACCUUAGAUUUGUUUCCCCAAAAACACUAUUUUGAUUUAGCUAAAACCGGGCUAUUACACACUCAUUUUUCAACAAUCGUGAUUCCUCUUUUCUUCGGCACACACUACAUCGAACUUACCCACGAACUAUAUGAAAUAGG
This 233-nucleotide long non-coding RNA is filed under the name Gossypium barbadense (sea-island cotton). Its description in RNAcentral is "long non-coding RNA (GBAR_LNC011496)". The record is from RNAcentral. Lineage: Eukaryota; Viridiplantae; Streptophyta; Magnoliopsida; Malvales; Malvaceae.